GGGUCAAUAUCAAAGCCCAAACUAAAAAUAGAAAAAUAAAAGAGAGAAAAGGAAACAAAAUUAAAGCAAAACCCUGAGAAAACCCGGCUGUAAACCAUGCUGAGCAGCGCCGGCAAUAGGGUCUUGACAUUUACAUUUCAAUUCUCCCCAUCUCUCAAAUUCUCAGCCAAAACCCACAAAGAGUUUCGACCCAGAAGCCAUAACAGCUCAAUCAUGAACUCUGCUUUUCGUUCUUCUCCAAGAGAAGCUCAAGUAAAUGAUGCCCGAUUCGGCGGCACCAUCACAUUGGAGGAAUGGCAAGGAUGGGGCUGCGUAUCUCCAGUACCACCAAUGGUAACCGAGGUCAUUCAGGAUUUGAAGCUUUUGGAGAAUAAUAUUGAUGCCCACAUGGUUUUUGGUGGUAAUGGUGGCAAAUUACAGGGAGAUUUUAAAAUUCAGGAGGACAAGAAGCACAGAGCAAAAUAUCAGGCUUUGGGUGACUCAGAAAAAAAGUUCCAGUUCUUUUCUGCUCGACAAAUAGCAUGCCGGUUGCUUGGAAGUCGGGGCUACCUCUGCCAGAAGUGUUGGCUUCCUAUGGAAGAUUGUAUGUGUUCAAACAUCAAGCCUUGCUCACUAUGGCACGGCAUCAGGUUUUGGUUGUAUAUGCAUCCAAAGGAUUUUCUACGGCAGAACAACACUGGGAAGUUGUUAUGGCAACUAUUUGGUGUUCAAGCUGCAACUUUGUGUCUUUAUGGUAUUUCUGAAGAUGAGAAAAUCAUGUGGAAUGCAUUUAAGGAUGCGGGAAAAGCCAAGGUUUGGUGCCUUUAUCCCAACCAGAAUAUAGUACCAAGGACAGUUCAGGAUGCCUUUAGCUGCCAAUCUUCAGCAGAUCUGGAAUGUACACUCUCGUCGACAACUAGAGAUAGACCUCUGAAUUUUGUUCUGAUUGAUGGUACAUGGAGCAACUCUGCAGCAAUGUUCAGGCGUCUAAAGGAGCGAGCAAAGUUAGUAUGGGGAGAGGAAGACCUUCCUUGCAUAUCUCUUGCCGCUGGUGCAUCUGCAAUGCAUAAACUCCGACCUCAACCAUCAUGGGACCGAACUUGUACGGCAGCAGCAGCUAUUGGUGUUCUUGAGGAGCUGCAGCUUCUUCCAGUGUGUAGCUCCCAUGGAUUGGAUAAACAGGCUAAAGCAGUGGAGGAUGCUUUAGUUGUUCUGCUAGAAGCACUGACAGCUCGACGCCUUCGGAUGGGCAGGUCCAUCACUCGUAAAGUAAGACACACUAGGAACAUUUGUUAACAGCUAACAUUUUUAAUGAUAUAGGUGCUGGUGAUCAUUCAAGAAGGUGACCCAGUUAUUCAGGUUUCUUGCAACGAUAACUACUAACAGAUAUAGUCAACCAUCAAGUAACAAGCUGUGCCCUAUUUGACUGCAAGGCUCUUCAUAUUGUUUUCCAAAAUUUUUAUACGGUGGUGUCUCAAUUUCAUUGUAGCCAUGCCUACGUACCAGGCUUUAUUCACAAUCUUUAGGACAUUUCUUACGGGCUUGACUGCCGAUGGCAAUAUGGAUAUUGCUCUUUUCCUAAUGGAAGAAGCAUUACUUUGCUUCUCAGAGUCGUUCCAGACAUUUACCUAUAAUCGCCUGUAACAAAAUUUUAGAAGACAAACAAAACAAUAUUUGUUGAAUCCUGCAACAAACUGAAUUACUGUAUUUUCUCAUUUAUUUUGUUGGCUUCCGGCGGAGCAUAAUUCAAUUAUACCUUGCCCGUCUUUCUCCCACAAAAGUAUUUUCUUAUAAAAGUUUUAUUAACUAAUAAUAAAAUCUUCUGAUAGAACUUAAGCUCAAAUGUUGAAAGCCUAACUAUAAAAGGUCUUGUCAUAAAAUAAGACGAACUCCUAAAUUUUUUGUCUGUAGAUGACAUUUUCACAUCUAGAUGCAUAUUUCAAAUAAUUUUUACGGCGAAUUUUCACGCAACAACAAGUUUCAUAUGCCAACCACAACAUGAGCGCGCAGCAAGUACCUAAACUUGUACGUGGUCGGAUCUGGUUUGGCCAGUCAUUCGAAAGUCUUGUUCAUAGUUUGAUCUGAUCU
Non-coding RNA from Durio zibethinus, 2067 nucleotides. The record is from RefSeq and is a predicted model, not a curated record. NCBI's taxonomy places the organism in Eukaryota, Viridiplantae, Streptophyta, Magnoliopsida, Malvales, Malvaceae.